UUCCCUUUUUUUUUUUUGGGUCCAUACAGCCUGGGAAAUUUCAAAUCUUUGUUAAUCACAUUAUAGUUGCUCAUCCCCAUUGGCCAUCGCACCCACUCACAACUCACAAGCCAUAUGUUGUGCCAAAAUGAAACCAAGUUCUUUAAAAAUGGACAAAAAUGGCAGAGGAUAAAAAAGGCAGGAACAAGGGAAAAUACAUAAAGACCAACAGAAAUCUACUCAGGGCAAAAGGGCCUGUCCAAGGCACCCCUGUGGCUAGGAAUGGUGAAGUGCCUUAACCUCCCUUCCUGUUUCUUCAUAUACCCUUCACAGAGAAAUACCUUAGAAAAUGUAUCUUCCACUUCUCUAUUCACAUCAUGCACAAACACCUCAGUUUCUUCUCCCUCUGCCCUGUUCCUAGCCAUCAUUCCUGCAGUAUAUAUAGCAGUCAUUCUUCCUGGUGCCUCUUCAUAGUAACCUGUAGGUGCAUCAACCAUGAUUAAAUCCCAUUUUAUGUCAUAAACUUCAUUAGGCAAGCCUUUCAAGGCAAGUUGGCACAUAGAGAACUUGGGAUCACUGACUGCUGUGCACUCAGGUCCUCUGCCUACCUCCAUGAGAUUGUUUGCUUCGUUCACCUUACUAUCAUAGGUCACAUGAUAGGACUCUAACAUGGGGAACCUUCUCCUAAUUUGUGAAAUCCAAGCCUCAUCUUCUUCAAGGAAAAUUGUUCUUCCUCCAUAGUUUAGUGUACUCCACAUAAGACUGUCAUGACCAAGCCCAAAAACCAAGAAGUUGCAUGGAGAUUUCUUCUCUAAAACUUUUGCUGUUGCUGAGAUUUCUUUAAGUGUUUGUUGUGGUGUAAUGGUUGAGGUUGUGUAAUGGAUGAGAGCUUGAGCUAGGGACCGUGGGAUCUUGUUGCAAGUUGGGGAACAGCUUGUUGCAUUUGCUUCAUCAUGUUUUGGGAUUUUGGAUUUAAAGGUACUUGAACUAGGAGAUGGGUUUUCCUUGGAAGAAGAUGAUAUAUUUGAUCUUAACAAAAAUAACAGAAAGAAAGCAAGGAAGACACCAAAGAGGAGAAGCUUAAAGUUGGGGAUUUGUUGGCUUUUAGGCCUCAUGUUUUUUCUGCCUCAAGAGGUGGUCUUUUGCUCUUCUUGGGUUUGAAAGGAAGAAAUGGAGAUUGAAAUUUGAGAUUUUGAAGGUGAAUUCAAGGUUAUAUUUUGGUGGUUUGUAGUUGGAAGAAGAAAAGGAGGUGAGUUGAGAUGUAGAGAAUAGAAGGUAGUGCGAUUGCAUGUUGAUGCUUAGACAUGAAGGGAAGAAAUAUUGGGUAAUUGAUGAGGACAAGAUAGCUUCUAAGUUUUUGGAGGAAGCAAAAUUAUGGUUGGUAGAUCUACAAGUUUGGUGGAGUGUUGUAGACUAUCCAACAUUUGAUUUGUUCAUUUGUGUUGAAUUGCUUUUAUUUCUUGUUUCACGGCUGAUGUUAAAUGGG
This 1465-nucleotide unclassified non-coding RNA is filed under the name Hevea brasiliensis (rubber tree). The record is from RNAcentral. Lineage: Eukaryota; Viridiplantae; Streptophyta; Magnoliopsida; Malpighiales; Euphorbiaceae.